Molecule: ribosomal RNA, 424 nt
Filed under: uncultured bacterium
Lineage: Bacteria
Description: partial 16S ribosomal RNA
Rfam family: Bacterial small subunit ribosomal RNA
Source: RNAcentral
GUGGGGAAUCUUAGACAAUGGGGGAAACCCUGAUCUAGCCAUGCCGCGUGAGCGAUGAAGGCCUUAGGGUUGUAAAGCUCUUUCAGCUGGGAAGAUAAUGACGGUACCAGCAGAAGAAGCCCCGGCUAACUCCGUGCCAGCAGCCGCGGUAAUACGGAGGGGGCUAGCGUUGUUCGGAAUUACUGGGCGUAAAGCGCACGUAGGCGGACUGGAAAGUCAGGGGUGAAAUCCCGGGGCUCAACCCCGGAACUGCCUUUGAAACUCCCAGUCUUGAGUUCGAGAGAGGUGAGUGAAUUCCGAGUGUAGAGGUGAAAUUCGUAGAUAUUCGGAGGAACACCAGUGGCGAAGGCGGCUCACUGGCUCGAUACUGACGCUGAGGUGCGAAAGCGUGGGGAGCAAACAGGAUUAGAAACCCUGGUAGUCC